RNAcentral lists this ribosomal RNA (790 nucleotides) under Leucothoe enko. Its description in RNAcentral is "partial 18S ribosomal RNA". It matches the Rfam family "Eukaryotic small subunit ribosomal RNA", at positions 1328 to 1787 of the family's 1831-position model. Lineage: Eukaryota; Metazoa; Arthropoda; Malacostraca; Amphipoda; Leucothoidae. The record is from RNAcentral.
AUACGAACGAGACUCUAUCCUACUAACAUCUGCUUUUUGCGGAAUUAGAAGGUAAGACUCGACGGUAUACACACAACGCGAGCGAGCUCGUCUCGCUCGAUACGUAAUCGUGCCGUUUGUCUGCCUGUCCUCUGUGUGGUGAGAGUACGCACACAGCGCGAAAAGAAUUGUGCGCGUGUCGUGUCGCUGCUCUUCCUAUGUCCCGCGGCUGCGCGCGUUCGGCUUCGGCAGUGCGUCGUUAGUUCGCGGCGAUAUACGGUUAGAGUUUGGCGGCGCGGUCGCUAUCAUCUUUCGCGCGCGGUUUUGCUUCUCGAACCCGGAGGAACGAAAUAUCUUCUUAGAGGUAUCGACGACUCUUUAGAGUCGUAAGAAAGAGAGAGCAAUAACAGGUCUGUGAUGCCCUCAGAUGCCCCGGGCUGCACGCGAGUUACAAUGCCGGGUCUAAUGGGUGUUGACUCUCUUCGAGAGUAUACUCCUUCUCCGAGAGGAGCGGGUAAUCCCUAAAACCCUUUCAACGCGGCGCGUUCCUACGUCUCGUUUAUACGCUGCGUAGUGCGCGUCUUAUGUGGCUCGCUUGGGCCUGGGGCUUGCUAAAGUAUUUCCCGUGAACGAGGAAUGCCUCGUACUGGCCGAUCACCAGUCGGUCGGGAUUGAGUCCCUGCCCUUUGUACACACCGCCCGUCGCUACUACCGAUUGAGCGUACCGGUGAGAGUCUUGGAGUAGAGCAGAGUUUUUCUUAGCUUGUGUUCGACCAAGAGAUUCCAACCGGUGCACUUAGAGGAAGUAAAA